CCUACGGGUGGCUGCAGUGAGGAAUAUUGGUCAAUGGGCGCGAGCCUGAACCAGCCAAGCAGCGUGAAGGAUGACUGCUCUACGGGUUGUAAACUUCUUUUGUAAAGGAGUAAAGUGCGGUACGUGUGCCUUUUUGUAUGUACCUUACGAAUAAGGAUCGGCUAACUCCGUGCCAGCAGCCGCGGUAAUACGGAGGAUUCGUGCGUUAUCCGGAUUUAUUGGGUUUAACGGGAGCGUAGGGGGGUCGAUAAGUUAGGUGUGAAGGUGUGCGGUUAAACCGUGGAAUUGCAGUUGAGACUGGCAGGCUUGAGUACAGUUGAGGUAGGCGGAAUUCGUGGUGUAGCGGUGAAAUGCUUAGAUAUCACGAAGAACUCCGAUUGCGAAGGCAGCUUACUAAACUGCGACUGACAUUGAUGCUCGAAAGCGUGGGUAGCAAACAGGAUUAGAUACCCCUGUAGUC
RNAcentral lists this ribosomal RNA (460 nucleotides) under uncultured bacterium. RNAcentral describes it as "partial 16S ribosomal RNA". It matches the Rfam family "Bacterial small subunit ribosomal RNA", at positions 338 to 795 of the family's 1533-position model. The record is from RNAcentral.